CAGUCGCCACGGGAAUACGGAGGGGGCUAGCGUUGUUCGGAAUUACUGGGCGUAAAGCGCACGUAGGCGGCUUGGUAAGUUAGAGGUGAAAGCCCAGGGCUCAACCCUGGAAUUGCCUUUAAGACUGCCGAGCUAGUAGGUGAGAGAGGUAAGUGGAAUUCCGAGUGUAGAGGUGAAAUUCGUAGAUAUUCGGAAGAACACCAGUGGCGAAGGCGGCUUACUGGCUCAUUCUAGACGCUGAGGUGCGAAAGCGUGGGGAGCAAACAGGAUUAGAGACCCGUGUAGUCCCUGUCUCUUAUAC
RNAcentral lists this ribosomal RNA (301 nucleotides) under uncultured bacterium. RNAcentral describes it as "partial 16S ribosomal RNA". It matches the Rfam family "Bacterial small subunit ribosomal RNA", at positions 509 to 807 of the family's 1533-position model. The record is from RNAcentral.